UUCAUUUUCUAGCAUGCAUAAUGGCACCGGAAGCUCAAUAUAUUCCAAUAAAUUCAAUUCAAGCCGGAUUGACUCACUAGGAUAAAGUUAACUCUUCCAAUGUACAUUUUCUCCAUUAACACAAGAUUCGAAUCUGAAACAUUAUUUAAGAGGAAGAAACGCCGAACCGUUUGAACUAAUUCACGUGGGUGACUUUUCUUCAUUUUCAAUUAUUGAACCAUCUCCUCCUGAGCCCCCGCCCCUCUAUAAAUACCAAACAUUCAUACCAAGAGUUGCUCAACACAUCCAUUCCAUUUAAAAGACGCAUAGAGAGGGGGCAAAAAAAAAAAGAAUAAGAGAGAGAGAGAGCAUCGGACCGAGUUUGAAUUAUGGCAAGUAUCAACGUUCCUGGAAAGAGCUCGUGGCCGGAGCUGGUAGGGAAAAAUGGGGGGGUUGCGGCGACAACAAUAAUAAGGGAGAAUCCAAAUGUGUACGUGGAGAUGAUCCCGCCAUCUGUCACCGGCAUCACCAGCAACUACAUAAGCAGUCGUGUCCGUGUCAUUGUCGAUGACUCCUGCAUUGUCACAGUAGUCCCUAGUAUUGGGUGAACAAUCGUGUCAUAAAUUGAAUAAGAUGAAUGAGCUCCUCAAUAUGUUAAUUAGGGGAGCCGUUGCCCAUCGCUCUUAAAUGUUAUGAAAUAAAUGUUGUUUACUCCGUAUCUGUCUUAAUUUAGUUAUAUGUAUUGUUUACAUUUGCUCUUCGUCUAUUGCAAGUAUACUAGGAGAAGAAUCACGUACUUUGCACGAGAA
This is a non-coding RNA of Punica granatum (pomegranate), 788 nucleotides long. The record is from RefSeq and is a predicted model, not a curated record. Lineage: Eukaryota; Viridiplantae; Streptophyta; Magnoliopsida; Myrtales; Lythraceae.